Molecule: ribosomal RNA, 782 nt
Filed under: uncultured fungus
Lineage: Eukaryota; Fungi
Description: eukaryotic LSU rRNA
Rfam family: Eukaryotic small subunit ribosomal RNA (bases 1-241)
Source: RNAcentral
UUGCUCUUCAACGAGGAAUUCCUAGUAAGCGUAAGUCAUCAGCUUGCGUUGAUUACGUCCCUGCCCUUUGUACACACCGCCCGUCGCUACUACCGAUUGAAUGGCUUAGUGAGGCCUCCGGACUGGCUCCAGGAAAUGGGCAACCGUUACCAGGAGCCGGGAAGCUGGUCAAACUUGGUCAUUUAGAGGAAGUAAAAGUCGUAACAAGGUUUCCGUAGGUGAACCUGCGGAAGGAUCAUUACCGAAUUUGAUUAUCUUCUUUCUGUGAAUUUAAUAAUGACUUGCUUCGGCGGGUGUUAUGGUUGAUUGAUGACUUCUUUUUGAGUUGUCUCUUUUCUCCUUACCCGCCGAAAGGUUAAACUCAACAAAUUAUUUUUUGUCUAAACAAAUAAAACUAAUAGAUCAAAACUUUCAGCAACGGAUCUCUUGGUUCUCGCAUCGAUGAAGAACGCAGCGAAAUGCGAUACGUAAUGUGAAUUGCAGAAUUUUGUGAAUCAUCGAAUCUUUGAACGCACAUUGCGCCUUGUGGUAUUCCACAGGGCAUGCCUGUUUGAGCGUCAUUUCUCUCUCACUAACGUGGUUUUGUUGUAUCUCUCUCUUUUAUUAGAGAGAGUGCAAUGAAAGGAAAUGGCAGUGCUUCGAAGUUUGCCAAACGUGUUCUAGGUUGUACCAACUACACUAGUAAGCGCUUCAAUAAGCCGGCUUGAUAAACCUUUUAUUAAGUUUGACCUCAAAUCAGGUAAGAAUACCCGCUGAACUUAAGCAUAUCAAUAAGCGGAGGA